RNAcentral lists this ribosomal RNA (447 nucleotides) under uncultured bacterium. RNAcentral's name for it is "partial 16S ribosomal RNA". It matches the Rfam family "Bacterial small subunit ribosomal RNA", at positions 29 to 523 of the family's 1533-position model. The record is from RNAcentral.
AACGAACGCUGGCGGCAGGCUUAACACAUGCAAGUCGAGCGCCCCGCAAGGGGAGCGGCAGACGGGUGAGUAACGCGUGGGAAUCUACCCAUCUCUACGGAAUAACUCAGGGAAACUUGUGCUAAUACCGUAUACGCCCUUUUGGGGAAAGAUUUAUCGGAGAUGGAUGAGCCCGCGUUGGAUUAGCUAGUUGGUGGGGUAAAGGCCUACCAAGGCGACGAUCCAUUGCUGGUCUGAGAGGAUGAUCAGCCACAUUGGGACUGAGACACGGCCCAAACUCCUACGGGAGGCAGCAGUGGGGAAUAUUGGACAAUGGGCGCAAGCCUGAUCCAGCCAUGCCGCGUGAGUGAUGAAGGCCCUAGGGUUGUAAAGCUCUUUCACCGGAGAAGAUAAUGACGGUAUCCGGAGAAGAAGCCCCGGCUAACUUCGUGCCAGCAGCCGCGGUAA